AUUUGUCUGGUUAAUUCCGAUAACGAACGAGACCUUAACCUGCUAACUAGUCACUUUUAUUCUUAUAGAUUUUGACUUCUUAGAGGGACUAUGCGUAUUAAGCGCAUGGAAGUUUGAGGCAAUAACAGGUCUGUGAUGCCCUUAUAUGUCCUGGGCUGCACGCGUGCUACACUGAUGCAUACAACAAGUGCCUAACCAGUCAUGGCUUGGCAAUCUCCAAUAUGUAUCGUGAUGGGGAUAGAUCUUUGCAAUUAUAGAUCUUGAACGAGGAAUUCCUAGUAAGUGCAAGUCAUCAUCUUGCAUUGAUUAUGUCCCUGCCCUUUGUACACACCGCCCGUCGCUCCUACCGAUACCGGGUGGUUCGGUGAACCUUUUGGACCUCUUCGGAGGAAAAAUAAGUAAAUCAUAUCACCUAGAGGAAGGAGAAGUCGUAACAAGGUUUCCGUAGGUGAACCUGCRGAAGGAUCA
This 468-nucleotide ribosomal RNA is filed under the name uncultured ciliate. RNAcentral describes it as "SSU rRNA". It matches the Rfam family "Eukaryotic small subunit ribosomal RNA". Lineage: Eukaryota; Ciliophora. The record is from RNAcentral.